Molecule: ribosomal RNA, 253 nt
Filed under: uncultured bacterium
Lineage: Bacteria
Description: partial 16S ribosomal RNA
Rfam family: Bacterial small subunit ribosomal RNA
Source: RNAcentral
UACGGAGGGUGCGAGCGUUAAUCGGAAUUACUGGGCGUAAAGCGCGCGUAGGCGGUUUGGUAAGUCGGAUGUGAAAGCCCCGGGCUUAACCUGGGAAUUGCAUUCGAUACUGCCUGACUGGAGUGUGGUAGAGGGAAGUGGAAUUUCCGGUGUAGCGGUGAAAUGCGUAGAUAUCGGAAGGAACACCAGUGGCGAAGGCGACUUCCUGGGCCAACACUGACGCUGAGGCGCGAAAGCGUGGGGAGCAAACAGG